Molecule: ribosomal RNA, 478 nt
Filed under: uncultured bacterium
Lineage: Bacteria
Description: partial 16S ribosomal RNA
Rfam family: Bacterial small subunit ribosomal RNA
Source: RNAcentral
GAUGAACGCUGGCGGCGUGCUUAACACAUGCAAGUCGAACGGGAAACCUUUUAUGGAAGCUUCGGCAGAUUUAGCUGGUUUCUAGUGGCGGACGGGUGGGUAACGCGUGGGUACCCUGCCUUAUACAGGGGGAUAACAACCAGAAAUGGUGGCUAUUACGGCAUAAGCGCAAAGGACCGCAGGGUCCGGUGUGAAAAACUCCGGUGGUAUAAGAUGGACCCGCGUUGGAUUAGCUAGUUGGCAGGGUAACGGCCUACCAAGGCGACGAUCCAUAGCCGGCCUGAGAGGGUGAACGGCCACAUUGGGACUGAGACACGGCCCAGACUCCUACGGGAGGCAGCAGUGGGGAAUAUUGCACAAUGGGGGAAACCCUGAUGCAGCGACGCCGCGUGAAGGAAGAAGUAUCUCGGUAUGUAAACUUCUAUCAGCAGGGAAGAUAGUGACGGUACCUGACUAAGAAGCCCCGGCUAACUACGUG